Acanthosepion pharaonis is the source of this 105-nucleotide non-coding RNA. The record is from the annotation of a GenBank genome assembly. NCBI's taxonomy places the organism in Eukaryota, Metazoa, Mollusca, Cephalopoda, Sepiida, Sepiidae.
CCACAUCACUUUCAAACACCGGUUACCGUAAGAUCACCGAAGUUAAGCAACGUUGAAUCUGGUCAGUUCCUAGAUGGGUGACCGCUUGGAUGUGCUGGUGGUGUA